Non-coding RNA from Marasmius sp. AFHP31, 82 nucleotides. The record is from the annotation of a GenBank genome assembly. Lineage: Eukaryota; Fungi; Basidiomycota; Agaricomycetes; Agaricales; Marasmiaceae.
GGCCGACUAGCUCAGUUGGUUAGAGCGUCGUGCUAAUAUGAUGUUAACGCGAAGGUCUUGGGUUCGAUCCCCACGUUGGCCA